Molecule: ribosomal RNA, 465 nt
Filed under: uncultured bacterium
Lineage: Bacteria
Description: partial 16S ribosomal RNA
Rfam family: Bacterial small subunit ribosomal RNA
Source: RNAcentral
AUGAACGCUGGCGGCGUGCUUAACACAUGCAAGUCGAACGAUGAAGCCCAGCUUGCUGGGUGGAUUAGUGGCGAACGGGUGAGUAACACGUGAGUAACCUGCCCUUAACUCUGGGAUAAGCCUGGGAAACUGGGUCUAAUACCGGAUAGGAGCGCCUACCGCAUGGUGGGUGUUGGAAAGAUUUAUCGGUCUUGGAUGGACUCGCGGCCUAUCAGCUUGUUGGUGAGGUAAUGGCUCACCAAGGCGACGACGGGUAGCCGGCCUGAGAGGGUGACCGGCCACACUGGGACUGAGACACGGCCCAGACUCCUACGGGAGGCAGCAGUGGGGAAUAUUGCACAAUGGGCGAAAGCCUGAUGCAGCGACGCCGCGUGAGGGAUGACGGCCUUCGGGUUGUAAACCUCUUUCAGUAGGGAAGAAGCGAAAGUGACGGUACCUGCAGAAGAAGCACCGGCUAACUACGUG